Jeotgalibacillus soli is the source of this 124-nucleotide regulatory RNA element. It matches the Rfam family "epsC RNA". Lineage: Bacteria; Bacillati; Bacillota; Bacilli; Caryophanales; Caryophanaceae. The record is from Rfam.
UGGUACUGUCUCCAAUACCAUUAUCAAUGGAGGCACUCGAUCGCGCCGUGGGUAUACAGUUAAUUAUGUAAUGCCUUAGACUUGAAAUGUCAGUGGUGUGGUGUGAGGAUGGGUUAAAUGCCUA